UACGUAGGUCCCGAGCGUUGUCCAGAUUUAUUGGGCGUAAAGCGAGCGCAGGUGGUUUAUUAAGUCUGGUGUAAAGGCAGUGGCUCAACCAUUGUAUGCAUUGGAAACUGGUAGACUUGAGUGCAGGAGAGGAGAGUGGAAUUCCAUGUGUAGCGGUGAAAUGCGUAGAUAUAUGGAGGAACACCGGUGGCGAAAGCGGCUCUCUGGCCUGUAACUGACACUGAGGCUCGAAAGCGUGGGGAGCAAACAGG
Molecule: ribosomal RNA, 251 nt
Filed under: uncultured bacterium
Lineage: Bacteria
Description: partial 16S ribosomal RNA
Rfam family: Bacterial small subunit ribosomal RNA
Source: RNAcentral